This is a ribosomal RNA of Lupinus angustifolius (narrow-leaved blue lupine), 119 nucleotides long. The record is from Rfam. Lineage: Eukaryota; Viridiplantae; Streptophyta; Magnoliopsida; Fabales; Fabaceae.
AGGUGCGAUCGUACUAGCACUAAUGCACUAGAUCCCAUUAGAACUCCGCAGUGAAGCGUGUUUGGGCGGGAGUAGUACUAGGAUGGGUGACCUCCUGGGAAGUCCUCGUAUUGCAACUC